CCCCCCCCCUCACCCACCCGAAUUCGGGUGGGCAAGGGGGGGGGGAGUAGGAUG
Molecule: unclassified non-coding RNA, 54 nt
Filed under: Microcystis aeruginosa PCC 9701
Lineage: Bacteria; Bacillati; Cyanobacteriota; Cyanophyceae; Chroococcales; Microcystaceae
Description: Antizyme_FSE
Source: RNAcentral